Molecule: long non-coding RNA, 3126 nt
Organism: Anolis carolinensis (green anole)
Lineage: Eukaryota; Metazoa; Chordata; Lepidosauria; Squamata; Anolidae
Exons: 2
Source: RefSeq, a predicted model, not a curated record
UUCUUUCGUUGCCUCCCUCCUUUGCCUUUUAAUAAUGUUCCAUUCGGGGCUUUUCAAAAGACAACGGCGAGGUGGGAAAGGAACGGCACGGCCCCGUGAAAAGGACCAAAUUGGGUCCAUAUGCCGUUCCCGGAGGGGAAGCGGCUGGUGUCACUCUUAGUUACGGCAGGACGAGGGAUGGAUGCGGAGAGGUUUCCAUGGCAACAGGAGGGAUGGCGAUGCACUCCGACGUAGGGAUGGCGGCGAAAGGGAAAUCAGGUCAGGAGAGAACUUCGUAGGCGACAGAGCCAGGAGUCGCCUCCAAGGAGGCUGCGAAGGGCAAAACCUUCACCUCUCCGCUGGAUCACUAUAGUAACCACCUGCAUCCCCAGACUGCAUUCAGGUUAGAAAUGCAAGCGGGAACUUGGGAAACAAGAGAAGUGUAUCUUGCAGGGAUCUGAAUCAAAGACGUGAAUGAGAAAGAAAAGGUGAAGCGUUCCACCUGACUGUUCGUUAUGCCAUUCUUUCUCCAUCCUUAAGAGUCCGUAUUGCGACUUGCUCAUAAACCAUGUAGCAUGUCCAUAAACAAUCUGGAAAGAGUAGCGUGAAGCAGCCAAGUUCAUCAACGACACUAAAUUGCUCAAGGUGGUGAGAACAAAAUGGAUUGUGAAGUUUGGAAGCUCUUGUUGGGAAAAUAGCUAAUAAAAGCUUAAGUGGUCCCAUUGAAUUAAUGAGGUUCACCAAUGUGUUGACUUACGGGUCAACAAUUGAUCCAAUAAGUCAACACUAGCUAGGUCUAACAUAUAGGAUUCAGGCCUCAGGGAUGUAUCUAUGCUGUGUCGUUGACUUUGACUUAUGGUGAUCCUACAGUUGAGAGACCUUCAAGAGUUCCUAUAUUUACCACCAUGCUUAGGACUACAAUCCAAGAUGUCCUCCUACCUUCUGUUUGUUCCAGAAUCAUUUUCUUCUCCAAUGAAUCAUGUCUGUCCAAGCUAUGAUAGCUUCAUUCAACUAUUUGGUUAUCUAGUGAGAGGUCAGUCUUGAGUUAGGAAUGCAUUUAUUUUGAUCUCAAUGCCAAUGUCACGUCCAUAAAAUCCCAACUUCACAUAUUCACUCAACUGAACGGGACCUUGAGGUCCAUAGCUUAAUCAAAAUGUCAACCCAAUGUUUGGCUGUUGUAGAAAAGGCACAUUUGAUGUUGGGCAUCACUGGUUGAGGAAUCAAAGCUAAACUUGAUCUUCUUCUUCUCCAAAUCCAUGGAGCAACCAAUCUGUGGUUUUGGGUCCAAAAACAUUUAAAAUACAUAUGUCAGAGUUGGGAAAAACAUCUCAAAAGAGGAACUUGGUGACCUCCAAGUCAAUCUAUUCCAAUGUCAAACCGUUCUUACAGAAAUGCUCUUCCUAAUGUUUAGCUGGAAUCUCUUUCCAUUGAGUCCCAGUUUAGUUUUUGUAAUUGCAGAAAGCACGUUUAUUCCAUCUUCCACAUGACAUCCUUUCAGCAAUUUAAAAAAAGCUGUCAUCUCACCUCUCGGUCUCCAAGAUAAACAUACCCAGCUCCUUAAGCCAUUUCUGAUAUGGUUUCCAGACCUUUGGCCACCUCUGGACGCCUUCUGCUGUGUCAAUAUCCCUCUUGAACUGCGGUGCCUCACGUUUUAUUGGACAAAUGGACUAGAAAAAUAUGAAGCGCUCAUGGUAAAUAGCAAGUGGAUUUGCUGUGCGGACACCAUAAGGUCAUCUCAUUAAUGCCUCAUGGUUAUACUCAUCAAGGUUCACAUCUUUUUCAGCAUGCAGAAAUUAUAGCUUCGGCUUUAUUAGGAUGUGAAAAAUAUUUGCUGUUCAUGAGAGACGGUUGCAAGACAUUCCCGAGGAGACACCUCGAUAUCUCUUGUGGAGAUAUUAACGUCAACCUCGAUGAGAGUGCUCACCUCCAGGGCAAGACAAAGAUGAGGCACGGGAUGCUUUUUUGACAACCCGUUAAAAACAAAAACACCUCUCCAUGUAUUUGCACAACACUACUGUCUUUUUCCAUUGUCAAACAAACACACGCAGAGAGGGAUUGAGAGCUAACCCAGUAAGUUCUACAGCAGAUGAGAAAGGCUCUGGGUGCAUCUAUACUGGAGAAUUGAUACUAUUUGACACCACUCAAAGUAGUAUAACUCAAUGCUAUGCCAUCCUAAGAGAUAUAGUUAGAGAACGCACUUGCUUUCUUGGGCAGAGAAGGCUUUGUAGAACUAUAUCUCCUAUGGUUACAGAACAUUGAGCCAUGGCAGUUCAAGUCGUAUCCGAUUGUCCUUAUAUAUUUCAGGAGCCCUAUUCAAAAUUCUAUUCAUUUUACUCUUUGAAUGUCCAUUUAUUAUUAUUGUUUAAGUUUUAAUUGUUUGUUGAUGUUGUUUUAUGUUUUAUGUAUGAGGGUUAUCCAGAAAGUAGAUUAUGUUUUGGAAUUAAAAAUGAACAAAGUAUAGGAGAAAACAUUUAGGAUAUGCAGUUGAAAGCCACACCCAAAUACCACUUCUCAACAUAGUCACCAUUCAAAUCUAGGCACUUAUCAUAGCGAUGAAUGAGCUUGGCAACUCCUUCCCCACAAAACUCUGCUGCUUGCGUCCUCAACACAGCGUUUUGAUGACGAUGCGCAGCUGCGGUUAGGGGUGACCGGCUGGUUGAGGACGCAAGUGGCAGAGUUUUGUGGGGAAGGAGUUGCCAAGCUCAUUCAUCGCUAUGAUAAGUGCCUAGAUUUGAAUGGCAACUAUGUUGAGAAGUGUUAUUUGGGUGUGGCUUUAACUGCAUAUGGUAAAUGUUUUCUCUUAUACUUCUUGCGAAUGCAAGCGGCAGAGUUUUGUGGGGAAGGAGUUGCCAAGCUCAUUCAUCGCUAUGAUAAGUGCCUAGAUUUGAAUGGUGACUAUGUUGAGAAGUGAUAUUUGGGUGUGGCUUUCAACUGCAUAUGGUAAAUGUUUUCUCCUAUACUUUGUCCAUUUUUUAAUUCCAAAACGUAAUCUAUUUUCUGGAUAACCCUCAUAGUUAUAAUGUUUUUAAAUUGUAUUGAUCUGGAUUUUUACUAUUGUUGUCUGGGCUUGUCCCCAUGUGAGCCGCCCUGAGUCCCUUCUGGGAGAUGGAGACGGGAUAUAAAAAUAAAGUUGUUGUUAUUGUUGUU